CCUACGGGCGGCAGCAGUGAGGAAUAUUGGUCAAUGGGCGGGAGCCUGAACCAGCCAAGUCGCGUGAAGGAAGAAGGUACUUAGUAUUGUAAACUUCUUUUGUCGGGGAACAAAGGCGGAGACGCGUCUCCGGAUGAGUGUACCCGAAGAAAAAGCAUCGGCUAACUCCGUGCCAGCAGCCGCGGUAAUACGGUGGAUGCGAGCGUAAUCCGGAUUUAUUGGGUUUAAGGGGUGCGCAGGGGGGAGAUCAAGGCAGCGGUAAAAUGUCGGGGCUCAACCCCGGACGGCCGUUGAAAAUGGUUGUCUAGAGUGGGAGAGAAGUAGGCGGAAUUCGUGGUGUAGCGGUGAAAUGCAUAGAUAUCACGAAGAACUCCGAUUGCGAAGGCAGCAUACCGGCGCCCGACUGACGCUGAGGCACGAAAGCGUGGGGAUCGAACAGGAUUAGAUACCCGUGUAGUC
RNAcentral lists this ribosomal RNA (459 nucleotides) under uncultured bacterium. RNAcentral describes it as "partial 16S ribosomal RNA". It matches the Rfam family "Bacterial small subunit ribosomal RNA", at positions 338 to 795 of the family's 1533-position model. The record is from RNAcentral.